Molecule: ribosomal RNA, 432 nt
Filed under: uncultured bacterium
Lineage: Bacteria
Description: partial 16S ribosomal RNA
Rfam family: Bacterial small subunit ribosomal RNA
Source: RNAcentral
AGCGAACGCUGGCGGCAGGCCUAACACAUGCAAGUCGAACGAACUCUUCGGAGUUAGUGGCGGACGGGUGAGUAACGCGUGGGAACGUGCCUUUUUGCUCGGAAUAACUCAGGGAAACUUGUGCUAAUGCCGAAUGUGUCCUUCGGAGGGAAGAUACAUCGUCAAGAGAGCGGCAGGCGUCUGAUUAACUGGGUGGGGAGGUAACGGCUCACAAAGGCGACGCUCAGUAGCUGGACCGAGAGGAAGACCAGCCACACUGCGAGUGGGAGACGUGCCAGAUUUUGACGGAAGGCAGCAGUGGGGAAUCUGGCGCAAUGGGCGAAAGCCUGAGGCAGCCAUGUCGUGUGAAUGAUGUAGGUCGAAGGAAUGUAAAAUUCUUUCACCGGGGACGAUAAUGACGUUACCCGGAGAAGAAGCCCCGGCGAACUCCGU